This 513-nucleotide ribosomal RNA is filed under the name uncultured bacterium. RNAcentral's name for it is "bacterial SSU rRNA". It matches the Rfam family "Bacterial small subunit ribosomal RNA", at positions 14 to 518 of the family's 1533-position model. The record is from RNAcentral.
CGAUCUGGCUCAGGAUGAACGCUAGCUACAGGCUAACACAUGCAAGUCGAGGGGCAUCGAGAGGAAAGCUUGCUUUCCUGUCGGCGACCGGCGCACGGGUGAGUAACGCGUAUCCAACCUUCCCCUUAGUAGGGCAUAGCCCGGCGAAAGUCGGAUUAAUACCCUAUGUUUUCCGAUGAGGACAUCUGAGCUGGAAUAAAGAUUUAUCGCUAAGGGAUGGGGAUGCGUCUGAUUAGGUAGUCGGCGGGGUAACGGCCCACCGAGCCUACGAUCAGUAGGGGUUCUGAGAGGAAGGUCCCCCACAUUGGUACUGAGACACGGACCAAACUCCUACGGGAGGCAGCAGUGAGGAAUAUUGGUCAAUGGGCGAGAGCCUGAACCAGCCAAGUAAGCGUGCAGGAUGACGGCCCUAUGGGUUGUAAACUGCUUUUAUCGGGGGAUAAAGUGAGGGACGCGUCCCUUUUUGUAGGUACCCGAUGAAUAAGGACCGGCUAAUUCCGUGCCAGCAGCCGC